RNAcentral lists this transfer RNA (87 nucleotides) under Streptomyces actinomycinicus. It matches the Rfam family "tRNA". From Rfam's summary of the family: Transfer RNA (tRNA) molecules are approximately 80 nucleotides in length. Their secondary structure includes four short double-helical elements and three loops (D, anti-codon, and T loops). Further hydrogen bonds mediate the characteristic L-shaped molecular structure. tRNAs have two regions of fundamental functional importance: the anti-codon, which is responsible for specific mRNA codon recognition, and the 3' end, to which the tRNAs corresponding amino acid is attached (by aminoacyl-tRNA synthetases). tRNAs cope with the degeneracy of the genetic code in two manners: having more than one tRNA (with a specific anti-codon) for a particular amino acid; and 'wobble' base-pairing, i.e. permitting non-standard base-pairing at the 3rd anti-codon position. Lineage: Bacteria; Bacillati; Actinomycetota; Actinomycetes; Kitasatosporales; Streptomycetaceae. The record is from Rfam by way of RNAcentral.
GGAGGAUUGGCCGAGUGGUAAGGCACCGGUUUGCUGAACCGUGGUCGGGUCCGACAGCCCGCGCACGUUCGAUCCGUGCAUCCUCCG